GUGAGUAGAAGUGACCUGUGCAUUUUGGAGCAGAAACUUUAAGUUAUGGCCUUGUUCGGUAAUCUCUCUUACCCUUUUGCUACUCCUUCUGCUAGGAUCAGAAAUGAAGACAACUUGAAGGAGAGCUAAUGUUGACUUCCAUUGUCAUGUUACACGAGCGAGAAAUAAGCCUUUAUUUUUUUGAACCACUAAGAUUUCAGGGUUGUUAUUGCAGCAUAAACAAAAGAGACCUAACUAAUACAGUGUGUUUAUUUUAUUCUGUUUUCCUCUUUCCUGUUUCAUCUAUAAUCAACACUUAAAAAUGGAUACUGAGAGGAAAGUUUGGCCAGAAGAUUAUCAUAGUAUCGAUGCCUCUGACCAUGAAGUUUAUAGCUGAGUGUCUGGAAAAGAGGAAUGCUCUUUUUCAUGUUCAGCAUAAAAAUACUCAUCUACCAGGCUGGGAUGAAUGCAGGCCAUGAGGAUACCCCAUGGUUCUCCUACCACCAGAUGCUACUGAGGCUAAACUGACUGGACUGAGGAAAAAUAUCUGUGGGGAAAACUUUCUUUCAGAAUCCAACUUUGAACCAGAGAAAUCCAUUCUCUUGAAGCUGUCUGCUGUGGAGAAGUUGGCCUUACCAAUCUGCCUUUGAAGUUCAAGUUAUACAGGAUCUGCGAGGCUACCUGUGAAUGAAUGGUUGGUUGGUCACUACUUGCAAGUUUUUCAGGAGCUCCUGAAAGAUUACUGCAUAAAUAAGGGAAGAUGGAGACCAGACCUCUGGCUACUGUUGCUGCCACCACUACAGAUACCACCUUCACCCUUAUGAACCCCCUAUUUACUGAACAUUCUCUAUAUGCCAGGUAACAUGCCCUGCACUUGUGAAAUAAGGACUGUUAUUUCCCCUAUUUUAUAAAAGAGGAGCUGAGGCUCAGAGAGAUUAUGUUACUUGCCCAAGAUCAGAUAGCUAGUAAGUGGCAGAGAUGAGAUUCUGUCUGAGUCCAGCUUACACCAUAACUGAUAUUCUUGACAAUCGGGCUGGAUAGAAAAGGAUAAGAUAUGAGAAUUUUGGUGCUAUGAUUUGAAUUUUCCUUCCAAAGCUCAUGUUGAAACUUAAUCCCCAAAGUAACAGUACUGAUAGGUGGGGUCUUUAACAUGGAGUCCCAGAAUUGGAUCGUGAGGGCUCUGCCCUGAUAAAUGAAUUAUUCCACUCAUGAUUAAUGGAUUAAUAGAUCAUCAUGGGAGUGGAACAGUGGCUUUAUAAGAAGAGGAAGAGAGACCUGAGGUAGAACACUCAGCGCCCUUGCCAUGUGAUGCUCUGUACUGCCUUGGGACUCUGCAGAGUCUCUCUACCAGCAAGAAGGUCCUCACCAGAUGCAGUCCCUUGACCUUGGCCUUCUUAGCUUCUACAACUGUCAUAAAUAAUUUUUUCUUUAUAAAUUACCCAGUUUUGGGAGUUCUAUUAUAAGCAAUAAAAACCAG
Molecule: long non-coding RNA, 1456 nt
Filed under: Homo sapiens (human)
Lineage: Eukaryota; Metazoa; Chordata; Mammalia; Primates; Hominidae
Description: HSALNT0056261
Source: RNAcentral